GACGAACGCUGGCGGCGUGCUUAACACAUGCAAGUCGAACGGAAAGGCCCCAGCUUGCUGGAGUACUCGAGUGGCGAACGGGUGAGUAACACGUGGGUAAUCUGCCCUGCACUCUGGGAUAAGCCUGGGAAACUGGGUCUAAUACUGGAUAUGACCUUUCUCCUUAUGGGGUUUGGUGGAAAGUUUUUCGGUGUAGGAUGAGCCCGCGGCCUAUCAGCUUGUUGGUGGGGUGAUGGCCUACCAAGGCGACGACGGGUAGCCGGCCUGAGAGGGUGAUCGGCCACAUUGGGACUGAGAUACGGCCCAGACUCCUACGGGAGGCAGCAGUGGGGAAUAUUGCACAAUGGGCGGAAGCCUGAUGCAGCGACGCCGCGUGAGGGAUGACGGCCUUCGGGUUGUAAACCCCUUUCAGCAGGGACGAAGCGUAAGUGACGGUACCUGCAGAAGAAGCACCGGCUAACUAUGUG
Molecule: ribosomal RNA, 467 nt
Filed under: uncultured bacterium
Lineage: Bacteria
Description: partial 16S ribosomal RNA
Rfam family: Bacterial small subunit ribosomal RNA
Source: RNAcentral